CGACUACCAAGUCAUAAAUGGAAACCUUCUGCCUUGAUCCAUCUCUCGUGACAUGGAUAGAUAUUUUUUUCUUCUCUUUGUCCAAAUCUCUGAACUGCAACGACUGUCUAUAGUCACUAAUUGCAGUAACCAUGACUACCAAUACUAUACUAAGUAGAAUUCCUAAACCAUCAUAUGUUCCUUUCGGCCACCCUUCAGUAGCAAGUCCCACACCAAUAGAAACAACAGCACAAACUAUCAAUAUGAUGAGAGUUAAAUCAUGCAGAGCCUCCCACACAAAUGUCCAAAAACUUUUAAACGGUUUCUCAGUAAAUUUGUUUGAUCCAUAUAUAUUUUGUCUGACAGAUACAUCACUCGAUUUGACUCCUUCAUUUGAUGAGACUCUCAACUUACCUGCAAGCCCUUCAACACCUCCAAGUUUCUUUAAGGUUUUUAUAUCAUACGAACCAACUAUAGAUGCAAGUUUAUCUGGGUUGAUUCCAAAACCAGCUUCUCGAGCUUCUUCUG
RNAcentral lists this unclassified non-coding RNA (507 nucleotides) under Hevea brasiliensis (rubber tree). Lineage: Eukaryota; Viridiplantae; Streptophyta; Magnoliopsida; Malpighiales; Euphorbiaceae. The record is from RNAcentral.